This is a long non-coding RNA of Phascolarctos cinereus (koala), 392 nucleotides long. RefSeq lists it as uncharacterized. The record is from RefSeq and is a predicted model, not a curated record. Lineage: Eukaryota; Metazoa; Chordata; Mammalia; Diprotodontia; Phascolarctidae.
CCUCCUCAGGGACAUAGACUUCAAAAGAGACACCUCCCUACACUAUGAGAGUAAGCUCUCCAGAGACAGAGUGACCUUCAGACACACACACAAAGAGAACUCCAGAAACAGAGAAACUCCACUAGAAAGACGACCCAAAGAGAGAUUCCUCCAAGGACAGAGACACCCUCCCAUCAGAGAUAUGGAGAGACCUCUCACACGGACCAAAGCCAUGCCCUCUGCCCACCACUCAGCUCUCUAGCUGAGCGUCUGUCCUGCCUGGGGCCCUCAGAGAGCGAGCCUGCUUGGGAGGCAGCUGCAAAUGCUCUUGACCAUGCGACCUGCCUCUUCCACCUCCUCUUUCAAGAACUGCAGGGGCAGCUGUGUGGCACAGCGAAUAGAGCACCGGCCAU